UGAGGAUUGACAGGAAGUAUCGUCUUUUGAAAUCUUUAAGCACAUGUCGUUUCUAAUGACAUCUUUUAGAUGAAUGAUUCGUGUAAAUAUGCUAGUUCUUUCAUGAUUAUGUGAUAGGUGGUGCAUGGCCGUUCUUAGUUCGUGGAGUGAUCUGUCUGCUUAAUUGCGUUUCACUAUGGCCCCAAAGUUAGCAAGUUAUCCAAUCAUGACCUUCGUCGACCCCUCACCUUUGAGUGCGCGUCCUAGCUUAGAGUACAUGGUGUAAAUGGACUUGUUUUGGGUACCCAGAAAGCAACGAACGUGACCGCAACGUCUUGUUGUCUCUCUUUUGACAGUUAUGGGUUAUCCCAGUCAUGUGUUUAUACUUUUAUGUGUAAAUACGUACGACACAGAGACUAGAUACCAAACUAGGCGUACCG
This 419-nucleotide ribosomal RNA is filed under the name Neogloboquadrina incompta. RNAcentral's name for it is "bacterial SSU rRNA". The record is from RNAcentral. Lineage: Eukaryota; Foraminifera; Rotaliida; Globorotaliidae.